ACUUCCCUGCGGUGUGCGUAAAAAAGCUGACAUUUUUUGAGCCAACAUUUUUGAAACGGGGUUGAAGAAUCUGCCGUGGUGUGCAAGCCUUCGAAAUGAAGGAAGCCUGAAGCGGUAUACGGAAACCCCACCUAUCCUGGAUAGGUUCAAAGAAUGGUUUUUUUACGGCACCGACGGGGAGGUU
This 184-nucleotide non-coding RNA is filed under the name Nitrospinae bacterium CG11_big_fil_rev_8_21_14_0_20_56_8. RNAcentral's name for it is "6S RNA". It matches the Rfam family "6S / SsrS RNA". Rfam says of the family: E. coli 6S RNA was the first non coding RNA to be sequenced, but its function was unknown until recently. It consists of 184 nucleotides that fold into an extended hairpin structure with a large single-stranded internal bulge. The 6S RNA specifically associates with RNA polymerase holoenzyme containing the sigma70 specificity factor. The record is from RNAcentral. Lineage: Bacteria; Pseudomonadati; Nitrospinota.